This 253-nucleotide ribosomal RNA is filed under the name uncultured bacterium. RNAcentral describes it as "partial 16S ribosomal RNA". It matches the Rfam family "Bacterial small subunit ribosomal RNA", at positions 524 to 776 of the family's 1533-position model. The record is from RNAcentral.
UACGAAGGGGGCUAGCGUUGUUCGGAAUCACUGGGCGUAAAGCGCACGUAGGCGGAUUUUUAAGUCAGGGGUGAAAUCCCGAGGCUCAACCUCGGAACUGCCUUUGAUACUGGAGAUCUUGAGUCCGGAGGAGGUAAGUGGAACUGCGAGUGUAGAGGUGAAAUUCGUAGAUAUUCGCAAGAACACCAGUGGCGAAGGCGGCUUACUGGUCCGGAACUGACGCUGAGGUGCGAAAGCGUGGGGAGCAAACAGG